AUGGGGGACGGCGCGCUGCGGCGGCUGUUCGAGAAGCCGUUGCCGGAGAACCCCACGCUGCUGGAGGUGCUGUCGGCUUGCAACAACCACACCCACCACAAGAAGCUGCUGCCGGCCGUGGACCCGUCGUCCUUCACGGAGAUCUUCGGUGAGCUCCACUUCCACGAGAAGCCCGACGGCGCCGCCGCCCGACACGUCCUGCCACGGGUGCCACUCCCUGAUGCACGCGCUACGGCGGCGUCGUGGCUCGACAUCGCUAGUCAGGCCGAGAAGAGCAAGGACGACUCGUCGCUGGACGCGCUCCUCAGGCCGAAGCCCGCUGGCGCCGCGGCCGCCCCCGGCGGCGUCAGGAGGAGCGCGAGCUUCUGCCUGAAGAAGAGCUCGGCUUCGCUGCUGCUGUGCACAGAGGGGCUCGGGUCCGAGAGCACGGUGGACUCGGACGACAUGGUCAGGGAUGACGGCGCCGACGCGGCCGCCGCCCUCCGAGGGAGGGAGAGGGAGGAAGCAACGCUGAGGGACGCAGCUGCUGCGGCGGAACCAGGGCUGAGGGAGUCCCCGCCGUCGUUCCCGCCGCCGAUACGAUCGAUCGGGCGCGGCGGGAAGCCGUGCGUGUGCUUCCGGACGUUCCGCGCGGAUGGGCGGUUCGUGCUGACGCAGGUGGUGAUCCCCGGGAAGGAGCUGCUGCAGGCGUCCCGCGAGGGCGGCCGGCUCAGGCUCCGGUUCGCCAACCCCGCCGCCGACGACGACGAGCUGGAGUUGGUGGAUCAAGAAGAUGACCGAGAAGACAACAGGACAUGCAUCGACGCCUGCGCUUAG
This 816-nucleotide ribosomal RNA is filed under the name Triticum aestivum (bread wheat). Its description in RNAcentral is "partial small subunit ribosomal RNA". Lineage: Eukaryota; Viridiplantae; Streptophyta; Magnoliopsida; Poales; Poaceae. The record is from RNAcentral.